UACGUAGGUGGCAAGCGUUGUCCGGAUUUACUGGGCGUAAAGAGCGCGCAGGCGGUCGUUCAAGUCGCGUGUGAAAGCCCCCGGCUCAACUGGGGAGGGUCACGCGAUACUGAUCGACUCGAAGGCAGGAGAGGGUAGUGGAAUUCCCGGUGUAGUGGUGAAAUGCGUAGAUAUCUGGAGGAACACCGGUGGCGAAGGCGACAUCCUGGACCGGUAUUGACGCUGAGGCGCGAAAGCCAGGGGAGCAAACGGG
RNAcentral lists this ribosomal RNA (253 nucleotides) under uncultured bacterium. RNAcentral's name for it is "partial 16S ribosomal RNA". It matches the Rfam family "Bacterial small subunit ribosomal RNA", at positions 524 to 776 of the family's 1533-position model. The record is from RNAcentral.